This 4118-nucleotide long non-coding RNA is filed under the name Pectinophora gossypiella (pink bollworm). RNAcentral's name for it is "uncharacterized LOC126370770". The record is from RNAcentral. Lineage: Eukaryota; Metazoa; Arthropoda; Insecta; Lepidoptera; Gelechiidae.
UAUAUAUGUCGGAGUUAGUUAUGAAUUAAGAAGAGAAAUUGAUCAAAUCGGAAAAUACAAUGAAGUUGCAACACUUCCAUCAUGAAGUUGCAACGCUCUGACGUCAGGUGGCGUACGAGCAGAGCGGGGUGAAGUCGAGGGAGUCACUACAGAGUCGUCGUGUCGAGCGGACGUGCACUGCCGUUCUAGUCGGGCAGUCUACCGCGAACCAUCGUCAUGAGCGGACGUGUCGAAUAAUUACGAGGAGUGCUAUAGUCGCUCACCUAUAACUUGUAGGGACGUCAAGAAAGUGUGAUCGGAAAAGAGUACCUAGCAAGUACGUUCACAUGUCCCGAUGAUUCGGUCCGAAUAUAGGAACCAUGGGUGGUGGAGGGCAAGUAGAGGGCGAGUAGCCCCUUCGCGCUAACGUCCUUAUGCGCGCUAGAUAACGAGAGACUGUGUAACCGUUACGAAUACCGUGACGUUGCCGUGAGUGUGUACCUUAUGCUGUGACUUUAUUUAAUCGUGAUACAAAAACUAUGUGGAAGUAAAUAAAAUGAUUGUGAUACUGAUGACGGCCAUUAUUGUCUUCUAACGCCCACCCUCCAUUAUGAUGAUGAUGUUACGACCGACACCGACCCACUGCUACGACAUCAGAAGCGGGAUUAGUGAACUUGGAUGAAGACAAUGUGAUGCGACGUUCACAACAAGACAAUGCAAGUUUUGAUUAUCACAAUCAGAAGAAGAUUAUGAUGAUUAUCACAUUCGUGUGACCACGUGAUGAAGAUGUAGUCUACAGCCAUGCCUGAAUUUGGAGAUGGACCUGAAUUUGAAGUGACCUUGACCUUGUUAAUGAUCGACAUCACUACAUGCCGUAAGAUAUGAUGGAGUGAACAUCACAAUAUUUCCAUACUGUGUGCAGUCGUGUUUGGAAAUUAUGGUACCUCAACUUGGAAACUGUUAUUACGGUGAGUCGUUUUCAUACUGGAACCUUAUUGUUAUUGACUUCAUUGCUGGGUGAAUUUCCGUUUCUAAUAAUGAGGAAAUUGAUUUAAAAUUAACUUGGAAAUUAUUAUUUCCCUUUGUUUAAAAAGAAAAUUUACGAGACAUAUUGUGUCAAUCCGUGUCAAUAAUAUCGCGUUUUCCAAUCUGUUUUCAUCAUCGUCAAAUCUUUGUAUUUUGGUCUAAAAAUAUUUCGAAUUGGUGUAGACACGCUUAACCUGGGUGGUUAAAGUUGUAUUUUCUCAAUCCAUGCGAAAAGAAAUUAAUCAUGACAUGAUAAUUGAGUCUCGAUAAAUAACGUGUUUUGUAAUCUACCGUCAUUCAUCAAAUGUUUCAAAAUUCAACAUUCUUUAUUGAAAUCUUUUUAAACCGGUUGAAAGAAAGUCACUUGAAUACGAUAAUACAGUGAAUUCUUUUGUUUCAUGUCAUAACUUGCCACGUGGUACGGCAAUUGGUGGAUUGCAAGCGGGGAUGAAAAUGGCGCGGGCUGAGCCGUAGCCGUGUAAAGUGACGACAUCAUGGCAGCGCGUUGUAUACCAGCCGGACUUGCUGCGCUGGUGCUGUUGAAGACCUAAACCAUGUCACAAGACCAGUGGUUGAUCUUUUAUUGGAAAUUCUUAUACGUCCCGGUGAGUCGUAUCUGUUUCACCUGAUUUGAAAUAUGGAAAGUUUUAAUAGGAUACAAACGAAUAUAGUGCAGAAAGUUCUCUUUUGUUAACUUUAAUUAAAUUGGAAAUCGUAAUGAAGUGAAGUAAACAUUGCGAAGUAAAAUGAUUUGGAUUACGAUUAAAUGAAAUAGGCUUAGAAAAUGCCCGAAACAGAGUAAAUCAUUAGUGAGAAAAUUGGAGCAAAACAUUCUAAAUAAUGAUAAUACCGAAUUGGUAAUUGUUUAAAUGCGGUAAUAUUUCCUCGAGGUGUUGGUCGCUACACUGUGACUUUAUGACUUGUGUGUGUGAGAGCAGGGUGCUCUGUCGUUUUGUGGUCGUGGACCAUGGUGGCCAUCCCGGGAGGGGAUGAUGUGACUCAUGACUGUUUUGUAGCGUAACGGCAGUUUGGGGAGGAAUAUUACAGCCUGUUGUGCUUUGCAGUAGAUGUUGAUUUAAUUGAGCAAUGAAAGCUAUGAUUGACCUGUUUCGGAGCAACUAUGAUAGGAAGCUGCGCACUUGUAGUGUUCGGGGCUGCAGCCACUUUUGUGCUGCUCGUCUUAGAAACUACAGGUAUGCGGUCGAAGCCCGGAUUUCAUGUUGACUUUGUAUUUGGUCAUGACAUUGUACCUGAAUCUAAGUCAUGUUGAACUCCGGUAGAAUUAGUCAAACGAAUUAGAAAUUAGUGAUGUAGAAGAAAUUGUGUAACCCAUUGACCUGUUUCGGAGCAACUCUGAUAGGGAGCUGCGCACUUGUAGUGUUCGGGGCUGCAGCCACUUUUGUGCUGCUCGUCUUAGAAACUACAGGUAUGCGGUCGAGGCCUGGAUGUCAUGUUGACUUUGUAUUUGGUCAUGACAUUGUACCUGAAUCUAAGUCAAGUUGACUUCCGGUAGAAUUAGUCAAACUACACGAAUUAGAAAUUAGUGAUGUAGAAGAAAUUUGUAACCCAUGGACCACUAUUCUACCAACUAAAAUGUAAAGUUUGUGUGCUAGCUGUGUUGAGAUAUCGUCACUUGGUGUAAGUGGCAUGAGUUGCUGUCGCUCGAUUUAGGUGGCAGUGACGACUGUGUUGAGAUAUCGUCACUUGGUGUAAGUGGCAUGAGUUGCUGUCGCUCGGUUUAGGUGGCAGCAACGACUGUGUUGAGAUAUCGUCACUUGGUGUAAGUGGCAUGAGUUGCUACCGCUCGAUUUAGGUGGUAGUGACGCCUGGUUGUGAGAUAUCGUCACUCAGUAGAGUGGCAUGAGUUGCUACCGCUCGAUUUAGGUGGUAGUGACGCCUGGUUUUGAGAUAUCGUCGCUCAGUAGAGUGGCAUGAGUUACUAUCGCUCGUUUAGGUGAUAGUAACGACCGAUGUGUAAAGAGUAAUUGGAUUUUCAAGUUUGGUUGUUUAUAGUGUGUGAAUACUGGUCAAUGGUCCGUGUAUUGUUAGUUGAUGAUUUAUCAUGAUGUAAUGUGAGCUCAUGUAGAGUCACAAGUAGAGCUCGUGUAGAGUCACAAGUAGAGCUCGUGUAGAGUCACAAGUAGAGCUCGUGUAGAGUCACAAGUAGAGCUCGUGUAGAGUCACAAGUAGAGCUCGUGUAGAGUCACAAGUAGAGUUCGUGUAGAGUCACAAGUAGAGCUCGUGUAGAGUCACAAGUAGAGCUCGUGUAGAGUCACAAGUAGAGUUCGUGUAGAGUCACAAGUAGAGCUCGUGUAGAGUCACAAGUAGAGCUCGUGUAGAGUCACAAGUAGAGCUCGUGUAGAGUCACAAGUAGAGCUCGUGUAGAGUCACAAGUAGAGCUCGUGUAGAGUCACAAGUAGAGCUCGUGUAGAGUCACAAGUAGAGCUCAUGUAGAGUCCUUUAUAGAGUCUCAUGUUAGGUCAGGAAUGACCGAGCGAACUUGGAUACUGUGCUGUGGUAUAUUGUUUCAGAUUAACACACGAGGACGUGUGUCACGCAGGAUGGCCGUGUCGGAGUUAGUUAUGAAUUAAGAAGAGAAAUUGAUCAAAUCGGAAAAUACAAUGAAGUUGCAACACUUCCAUCAUGAAGUUGCAACGCUCUGACGUCAGGUGGCGUACGAGCAGAGCGGGGUGAAGUCGAGGGAGUCACUACAGAGUCGUCGUGUCGAGCGGACGUGCACUGCCGUUCUAGUCGGGCAGUCUACCGCGAACCAUCGUCAUGAGCGGACGUGUCGAAUAAUUACGAGGAGUGCUAUAGUCGCUCACCUAUAACUUGUAGGGACGUCAAGAAAGUGUGAUCGGAAAAGAGUACCUAGCAAGUACGUUCACAUGUCCCGAUGAUUCGGUCCGAAUAUAGGAACCAUGGGUGGUGGAGGGCAAGUAGAGGGCGAGUAGCCCCUUCGCGCUAACGUCCUUAUGCGCGCUAGAUAACGAGAGACUGUGUAACCGUUACGAAUACCGUGACGUUGCCGUGAGUGUGUACCUUAUGCUGUGACUUUAUUUAAUCGUGAUACAAAAACUAUGUGGAAGUAAAUAAAAUGAUUGUGAUACUGA